AGUUCGAUCAUGGCUCAGGAUGAACGCUGGCGGCAUGCCUAAUACAUGCAAGUCGAACGGAGUGAAGCCUUCGGGUUUCAUUCAGUGGCGAACGGGUGAGUAAUACGCAGGGAACCUGGCCAUGGCAGGGGGAUACACUCUGGAAACGGAGCAUAAGACCCCAUAGGCAGUAAGGCGGCAUCGCCUUACUGUUAAAGAAAGCUGAAAGGCUUUGGCGAUGGAUGGACCUGCGGUGCAUUAGCUUGUUGGUGAGGCAACGGCUUACCAAGGCGAUGAUGCAUAGCCGGCCUGAGAGGGCGGACGGCCACACUGGGACUGAGACACGGCCCAGACUCCUGCGGGAGGCAGCAGUAGGGAAUUUUCGUCGAUGGGCGCAAGCCUGAACGAGCAAUGCCGCGUGAGUGAGGAAGGUCUUCGGACUGUAAAGCUCUGUUGCCGGGGAAAAAGGGGAAAUGCAGGAAAUGGCAUUUCAUGGAUGGUACCCGGCCAGAAAGCCACGGCUAACUACGUGCCAGCAGCCGCGGUAAUACGUAGGUGGCGAGCGUUAUCCGGAAUGAUUGGGCGUAAAGGGUGCGCAGGCGGUCUGUUAAGUCUGAAGGCAAAGGGAUGAGCUCAACUCAUUUAUGAUUCAGAAACUGGCAGACUUGAGGACAGGAGAGGGCGGUGGAACUCCAUGUGUAGCGGUAAAAUGCGCAGAGAUAUGGAAGAACACCAGUGGCGAAGGCGGCCGCCUGGCCUGUGACUGACGCUGAGGCACGAAAGCGUGGGGAGCAAAUAGGAUUAGAUACCCUAGUAGUCCACGCCGUAAACGAUGAGGAGCAGGUGUUGGGAGUGAAAUCUCAGUGCCGAAGCCAACGCAGUGACUCCUCCGCCUGGGGAGUAUGCACGCAAGUGUGAAACUCAAAGGAAUUGACGGGGGCCCGCACAAGCGGUGGAGUAUGUGGUUUAAUUCGAAGCAACGCGAAGAACCUUACCAGGUUUUGACAUCGGAUGCGAAGGCGCAGAGAUGCGCUGGAGGCUAUCAUCCAGACAGGUGGUGCAUGGUUGUCGUCAGCUCGUGUCGUGAGAUGUUCAGUUAAGUCUGGCAACGAGCGCAACCCCCGUGGUAUGUUACUAACGCAUUUGGGCGAGGACUCAUAUCAGACUGCCGGUGACAAACCGGAGGAAGGCGGGGAUGACGUCAAAUCAUCAUGCCCCUUAUGACCUGGGCUACACACGUACUACAAUGGCGUCUACAGAGGGAAGCGACCCUGAGAAGGGAAGCGAAACCGGAAAAGGGCGUCCCAGUUCGGAUUGAAGUCUGCAACCCGACUUCAUGAAGAUGGAAUCGCUAGUAAUCGCGGAUCAGCAUGCCGCGGUGAAUACGUUCCCGGGCCUUGUACACACCGCCCGUCAAACCAUGGAAGCCGGCAACGCCCGAAGCCGGUGGCAUAACCUUUUAGGAGUGAGCCGUCGAAGGCGGGGCCGAUGACUGGGGUUAAGUCGUAACAAGGUAGCC
This 1498-nucleotide ribosomal RNA is filed under the name uncultured bacterium. RNAcentral describes it as "16S ribosomal RNA". It matches the Rfam family "Bacterial small subunit ribosomal RNA". The record is from RNAcentral.